RNAcentral lists this ribosomal RNA (253 nucleotides) under uncultured bacterium. RNAcentral's name for it is "partial 16S ribosomal RNA". It matches the Rfam family "Bacterial small subunit ribosomal RNA", at positions 524 to 776 of the family's 1533-position model. The record is from RNAcentral.
UACAGAGGGGGCAAGCGUUAUUCGGAAUUAUUGGGCGUAAAGGGCGCGUAGGCGGCGAUUCAAGUGACGGGUGAAAUCCCUCGGCUUAACCGAGGAGCUGCCUGUCAGACUGGAUUGCUUGAGGCCGGGAGAGGCGAGUGGAGUUCCCAGUGUAGCGGUGAAAUGCGUAGAUAUUCGGAAGAACACCAGUGGCGAAGGCGGCUCACUGGCCCGGUACUGACGCUGAGGUGCGAAAGCGUGGGGAGCGAACAGG